Molecule: long non-coding RNA, 893 nt
Organism: Daphnia pulicaria
Lineage: Eukaryota; Metazoa; Arthropoda; Branchiopoda; Diplostraca; Daphniidae
Exons: 3
Source: RefSeq, a predicted model, not a curated record
GUUUGCUACGAAUCAAGCAGCCAGUCGUGCGUCAAGGACGACACCGUAAUGGUGUGGUACCAAAGCGGAUACGGCCGCUUCGGUUUCACCCCUACAGGUAGAUGAGUGAGGCUUCAUGUUGACAUGCUGUCAUCUUUCGUAAAACUGGAUGAGUUAACCAGGAACAGUUUUCUCUGCUUUUUAUAAGCUCAAAUUGUAGAUUAAAUGGCUCGUUGGCGUUUCAUGCUGCUACUGAUUUUCUUGUUGAACGUCGUUUUGCCAUUUUCUUCAGCAUCACAGAAUGUAACUGAAGCAGGUGCUUAUGCUUAUGGUGCUGGGAAUAUUAGGGAUGAUCAGUUCGGCAUAACGAUUCUUAGAAUCCUUAAAACUGUGGGUGUUGCACUUGGAGUUGCAUUGGUUGUUACUUUUAUAGCACCAAUAAUUAUUUACUUCCUACUCUGCUGUAUCGGAUUUACCUGUUCUGGCGUUUUGGCAGCUUCGUGUGCUGCAAUCUGUCAAUCGAACAUUGGUAAUGUGGCGGCUGGAAGUUGUUUUUCUUGUGCACAGAGUAUGGGCGCUUGUGGUAGCAUGGGAGUUUACGUCUUGAUUGGCCUAAUAUGUGGUAUUCCUGCUGGUGCCAUUGCAGGCUAUUAUGCUUGGUUUUAUUUUGUUUGAAAUGGAUGAAUUUAAGCGUGGGCAUUUUGUAAAACAUGUAAUAUGAAUCUCGAAAUAAAUGUGACAUUUGCUCCUUCAUUAAGAACUUCAAUUUAGUUGCGAGUUUAUUUUCUUUCACGAAACAAAAAGACAUUACGUAAACGAGUUUUAGACAUUAUUUUCUUUCGGGAAUCAAAUGACUUCGAAAAAGAUAGCCGUGGAGUUAUAUGGGGCGCCAAAUUUCAAAUAUGAGUAGAGUU